CAGUUUGAUCGAAUAACUGGGGAACGGAUAAAUGAGGGGAAAGCUGAAUUGAAAGUCCACUGGUUGCCAUGCACUGUGUGUGGCAAAACUUGGGAUGAUACGUGGGAGCCUGCUAGUGAAUUCGCACAUUUUAUGCCUAAUUCCCCACAUCCCAACCAGCUUUCAG
Molecule: long non-coding RNA, 166 nt
Organism: Rhinichthys klamathensis goyatoka
Lineage: Eukaryota; Metazoa; Chordata; Actinopteri; Cypriniformes; Leuciscidae
Exons: 3
Source: RefSeq, a predicted model, not a curated record